RNAcentral lists this ribosomal RNA (468 nucleotides) under uncultured bacterium. RNAcentral's name for it is "partial 16S ribosomal RNA". It matches the Rfam family "Bacterial small subunit ribosomal RNA", at positions 28 to 523 of the family's 1533-position model. The record is from RNAcentral.
GAUGAACGCUGGCGGCGUGCCUAACACAUGCAAGUCGAGCGAUUCUCUUCGGAGAAGAGCGGCGGACGGGUGAGUAACGCGUGGGUAACCUGCCCUGUACACACGGAUAACAUACCGAAAGGUAUGCUAAUACGAGAUAAUAUGCUUUUAUCGCAUGGUAGAAGCAUCAAAGCUUUUGCGGUACAGGAUGGACCCGCGUCUGAUUAGCUAGUUGGUAAGGUAACGGCUUACCAAGGCGACGAUCAGUAGCCGACCUGAGAGGGUGAUCGGCCACAUUGGAACUGAGACACGGUCCAAACUCCUACGGGAGGCAGCAGUGGGGAAUAUUGCACAAUGGGCGAAAGCCUGAUGCAGCAACGCCGCGUGAGCGAUGAAGGCCUUCGGGUCGUAAAGCUCUGUCCUCAAGGAAGAUAAUGACGGUACUUGAGGAGGAAGUCCCGGCUAACUACGUGCCAGCAGCCGCGGUAA